This 511-nucleotide ribosomal RNA is filed under the name uncultured bacterium. RNAcentral describes it as "bacterial SSU rRNA". It matches the Rfam family "Bacterial small subunit ribosomal RNA", at positions 15 to 507 of the family's 1533-position model. The record is from RNAcentral.
GAUCAUGGCUCAGAGCGAACGCUGGCGGCGUGCCUAACACAUGCAAGUCGAACGUGAAAAGGGGCAACCCUGAGUAAAGUGGCGUACGGGUGAGUAACACGUAGGUAAUCUACCCCGAAUCUGGAAUAACCUGCCGAAAGGCGGGCUAAUACUGGAUAGAGCGAUGGAACUCGUAAUUGGGUUUUUCGGAAAGGGAGCUCGCAAGAGCCUUCGUUUUGGGAUGAGCCUGCGUCUGAUUAGCUAGUUGGCGGGGUAAUGGCCCACCAAGGCGAUGAUCAGUAGCUGGUCUGAGAGGAUGAUCAGCCACACUGGAACUGAAACACGGUCCAGACUCCUACGGGAGGCAGCAGUGGGGAAUCUUGCGCAAUGGACGAAAGUCUGACGCAGCCACGCCGCGUGAGUGAAGAAGGCCUUCGGGUUGUAAAGCACUGUCGGCCGGGACGAAAAUACUUAAGGUGAAUAGCCUUAGGGACUGACGGUACCGGCAAAGGAAGCACCGGCUAACUCUGUG